This 609-nucleotide ribosomal RNA is filed under the name Gracilaria sp. ARS-2011. RNAcentral's name for it is "eukaryotic LSU rRNA". It matches the Rfam family "Eukaryotic large subunit ribosomal RNA", at positions 1284 to 1900 of the family's 3401-position model. Lineage: Eukaryota; Rhodophyta; Florideophyceae; Gracilariales; Gracilariaceae. The record is from RNAcentral.
AACAACUCACCUGCCGAAUGAAGUAGCCCUGAAAAUGGAUGACGCUUAAGCGGGUAGCCGAUACUACGCCGUCUAGAAAAUAAAUAAUUUUUAGAUGAGUAGGGGGGCGUGGUGAUCGUAUCGAAGCACUGCGUGCGAACGCGUGUGGAACGGUCACUAGUGCAGAUCUUGGUGGUAGUAGCAAAUAUUCAAGUGAGAACCUUGAAGGGCGAAGCGGGGAAGGGUUCCAUGCGAACAUUGAUUGGGCAUGGGUGAGUCGUACCUAAGCCGAGUGGCAAUUGCUUACUCACGCGGCGAAAGGGAAGCGGGUUGAAAUUCCCGCACACGGAUGUGGAAGCGGUGACGCAUUACUGGGGCGGUGACGUUGGCAGUGGCGCUGGGCAGAGUUGUCUUUUCUGUUUAACCGCCUGACGCUUGCACUGUGGAAUCCGCUUGUCGGGAGAAACAGGCAAGGCACGGGUAGAGCGCCGGGCUUUUUCCGGCGUCCAGCUCGCCACUGACGGCCCUUGAAAAACUGUCCUCAGAUAUUUUUUAAAAACUCCACGCCGUGGCGUACCGAUAACCGCAUCAGGUCCCCAAGGUGAACAGCCUCUGCUCGAUAUGAAAAAU